This is a long non-coding RNA of Zingiber officinale, 208 nucleotides long. RefSeq lists it as uncharacterized. NCBI's taxonomy places the organism in Eukaryota, Viridiplantae, Streptophyta, Magnoliopsida, Zingiberales, Zingiberaceae. The transcript is spliced from 3 exons. The record is from RefSeq and is a predicted model, not a curated record.
UGUGGUGGUCGAUGAACUGCUUCAUGAGCAAGGCGCCAAGCACAUUGUCCAAGUGGGGUUGGGAGAUGAUGAUCAGGGUAUUGAGGAUGACUUCUCUGCAUGGAGGGAGCUUCUUUGGCCGGAGUUGGAUAAGUUACUUCAGGAUGAAAAUGAGACAGGUGCAUCUACUCCUUAUAUAGCUGCCAUUCCUGAAUACCGGGUUGUAUUU